AAGGCAAAUGAAUCCAGACAGAAAAUAAACAAAUAUGUAAAUAAGAUGGGGAUCUAGCUGAUGUCCCCAUCAGUGAUUUAUUUGAUUCUUUUUUUAUCUGGUUUCCAGAGAAGGUUUUCUAGUGCGGUUGUGCUGGUUUCUUAAUUUCUUGUUUGGUGUCUUCUUUUUUUUUUUACUUUUGUGUCCAGUAGUGAUCUUGGUGUCUAGUUUUGUGAUCUUUUAGAUGUGAACCUCAUUCUAUCGGAUUAAUUAAAACUCUUGAGGGUUUUGAUCAUCUAUUUUUGUUUUUAGAAUUGGUUUUAUGCUAAUUUCGGUAGAUUUGGCAAAAGUGGCUUUCGAAUUGUUUUUUUAUAGGUUAAACAGGUUAAACAGGUCGGAUCGGGUUGGGGAAAUAGGUUACCUGUUUAUUAAACAGGUUAAACGGGUCGGGUCGGGUUAUCUGUUUAUUAAACAUGAUAGGUUUGGGUUAUAAUUCCUUACCUGUUUAAUAAAUGAACAUGUUGGAUUCAGGUUUAUGAUUUCUGACCCGACCUGCAUAUGACCCGAUCCGUUUAUGUCCGACCCAACCCGAUUGCCACCCCUAGCAUCUUAUUAUCUACACUAAAGUUUGUGUUUGGGUGCAGGCUGAGAAGUAUAUAAGAAGUUACCAUUCUCAAACUUUAUUUACAUUUCUUUUCUCACCCAUUGGAAAUGGUUAGAUUAAUCCUGCACUAGCUGCACCAUAUACUAGCAGUUUAGCUUGGAUACUUCUGUUACUUUGAAUUCAUAAUCAAUGGUGCUAAUAACAGCUUUUGCAGGUUUUGACAAAUAUGGUAUAAUGUAAAUGUAGGAGGUGGUUACGAGAGUGGGUAGUUGCAAUUCUGAGAAUGAUCAGCUGCUGAAGGAGUCUUAUAUCCCAAAUACGUACUGUUACCAGACUUAUCAGUAGAGCAUCUUUCCCGGUUGUCCUAUGAUAGUUUAUAUCAACACCAAAACCAGUGGUCAACUUGGAGGUGAUUUGAUUGUAACAUACGGUGCACUUCUUAACAGAGUACAGGUACUAUUCAUAUACAGAAGAUUAUUACUUCGAAUAGUACCUUGUACGAUCAGAUUUUAAACCUAAAACUAAUUUGUGCCUCAGUUAGACUAAGAAAAUGCAUUCAGAAUGCAUGGCUUUUAUUUAAAUUGUAUAAUUUUGAGGUUUUUGAUUUGAGUGAGGAAGCACGGAUAAGGUGCUGCAGAAGCUUUAUUGCUUUAUUGAUUUGAGUGAGGAAGCACCAAGUCUGAGGAUCACCACUGCUUUUAGCUCCUUUCAUCGCAGCUCCUUCCGGUUCGAGAAAG
This 1320-nucleotide long non-coding RNA is filed under the name Phoenix dactylifera (date palm). RNAcentral describes it as "long non-coding RNA (PDAC_LNC015033)". The record is from RNAcentral. Lineage: Eukaryota; Viridiplantae; Streptophyta; Magnoliopsida; Arecales; Arecaceae.